Triticum aestivum (bread wheat) is the source of this 1247-nucleotide long non-coding RNA. RefSeq lists it as uncharacterized. The record is from RefSeq and is a predicted model, not a curated record. The transcript is spliced from 5 exons. NCBI's taxonomy places the organism in Eukaryota, Viridiplantae, Streptophyta, Magnoliopsida, Poales, Poaceae.
GCAAGCAGACGUGUAAUGUGAAACAUCUGAUGUGCAGUUCAGGACCAAAUCCACCAGGACCGAUUGAUGGAGUUCAGAGUCCCUGAAUCCACCGGUAUUGGUCUUUGUUCAAAGCAAAGAGAGGGCAAAAGAGCUCUACAGAGAGCUGGUAUAUGACGACAUUAGAGUUGAUGUAAUCCAUGGAGACCUUACUGAAGAGCAGCGUCAAGAUGCUGUUGACAACUUGAGAGCUGGAAAAAGCUGGGUGCUAAUAGCAACAGAGGUUCUUGCGCGGGGAAUGGAUUUCAAAGGUGUCAAGUGUGUAAUCAACUAUGAUUUCCCUGAGUCCGCGUCUGCCUACAUUCACAGAAUAGUCCGGAAGAGCAGGCAGAUCGGGGGAGGCGAUCACGUUCUUCACGGAGGAGGACAAGCCGUUCCUGUGGACCAUCGCCAACAUACUGGUAUCUUCGGGCUGCGAGGUUCCUUCCUGGAUGGUGGCGUUGCCCAAGCUCAAGAGCAGGAAGCACAGGGUGGACAGGUGUGUCGAUCUUGAUCAUCUAAUUCAUUGCCGUCAUAUUAGCAAAGUGUUGAUCGUCUCAUACGCACGAGGCUUUGCAGCUAGAUAAAAAAGAUCGAAAGCAGACAGACGUAUUAGGAAGUGUUGGUACCGUGGAAGACCCAAUAAGAUUAGUCACCGAUCUUAUUGAAGCAGAAGACCCAACAGGCAGUUUGGGUCAUGACUCACAAGUUCAAGGCGUUUGAGGUAUAGAUCACAAUAUCAUUUUUUUUCUUUGAUAAUUUGGUGGUUAGUGGUGUUGCCACACGACCAAGUUCACAUAUAUCCUUUUUCUUUGUUUCAACUAUUCUAGAUUCUCUUAUUUGUUUAUUUCUUUUUCCUGUGAAAUUCAUUCUUUUCGUUUCCUUGUGUGUGCAUGGAUCUACCAGGAAACAAAUGGCGAGUGAUCCUCUGUCAACCUCAUUCCUCCCUUGUCCCUUGUUCGGUGGAUUAGUAUUUUUCUGUCAAUGUGUUUAUGCACUUUCUUUCUUUUAGCUCAAGCAUAUAUGAUGAGUCCUUUCAUGCACUUUUUUUACAACACUCUAAUGUGUCUGACAUGAUCAGAUGAUUUUCUGGUUGCAGGGAGAAUAGAAUACAUAUCAACCAUUGAGGCUAGUUUUUACUGGAAUUUUUCUUGCGGCCAUCAGGAUGUUUGUGUAGGUUUGCUCUGCAACACGGCUGAACAUUAUGUUGUUUUCGGUUGACAGAAGCA